RNAcentral lists this ribosomal RNA (489 nucleotides) under uncultured bacterium. RNAcentral's name for it is "bacterial SSU rRNA". It matches the Rfam family "Bacterial small subunit ribosomal RNA", at positions 30 to 504 of the family's 1533-position model. The record is from RNAcentral.
CGAACGUUAGCGGCGGGCCUAACACAUGCAAGUCGAACGAGAACGCUCCUUCGGGAGUUAUUAAAGUGGCGCACGGGUGAGGAACGCGUAGGUAAUCUACCCUCUGGCGGGGGACAACACUCCGAAAGGAAUGCUAAUACCGCGUAAGACCACACUCACUACGGUGAGAGCGGUUAAAGGUGCCUCAAAGCACCACCAGAGGAUGAGCCUGCGUCCCAUCAGCUUGUUGGUAAGGUAAUGGCUUACCAAGGCUAAGACGGGUAGCUGGUCUGAGAGGAUGAUCAGCCACACUGGCACUGGAACACGGGCCAGACUCCUACGGGAGGCAGCAGUGAGGAAUAUUGGGCAAUGGGCGAAAGCCUGACCCAGCCACGCCGCGUGUGUGAUGAAGGCCUUCGGGUCGUAAAGCACUGUGGGGAGAGACGAAAAAGCGCAUCAGGAAAUGGUUGCGCCUUGACGGUACCUCCUUAGCAAGCACCGGCUAACUCU